This is an RNA transcript of Spinacia oleracea (spinach), 8640 nucleotides long. RefSeq lists it as uncharacterized. The transcript has 7 exons. NCBI's taxonomy places the organism in Eukaryota, Viridiplantae, Streptophyta, Magnoliopsida, Caryophyllales, Amaranthaceae. The record is from RefSeq and is a predicted model, not a curated record.
UUUUAUUAAAAAAAAUGAAACGCUUACGAAAAAAACCCUACCGUCACUUUCUCCUCCAACUCUCUCCUCCGACCUACGCAUUUUGCUUCAACUCAUCAAUUCAAGCAUCGACUAAUUCACAUCAAUUCAAACAUCGAUUAUCUUCAUUAAAACCUAUCUCAAAUUACGUGUUCCAUUUCAAAAUAGAAAAAUAGAUCUGCUCCGAUUUCGUCGAUUCGGUUCAUCUCCGCCAUUAUCUCUCCUAUUUCGAUGGUGAUCUUAAUUUUAGGUCCGAUUUACCCUAUUCUGUUUCUGGGUUCGAUGUUCCGAUUGGUGAAAAAAUCCAACCAAAUUUAGCUUCAUGAAUUCAUCCCAACAUUUUUGAUGUGUGUGGCGUGAAAAAAUCCGAUUAUCAAAGUUUAUUUGGAUCUUUCCUGGGGAUUUGCUUUGAAGUGAAAGAAAAUAAAAGACAGCUCCAUUAAUGUUUAACAGAAAUUAAGUGUUGUUGCAUUGAUCAAAGUGGAAUUCUUGCCAUUUUUCUAUUCUAUUUUGGUGUUCUGGGAAUUUGCAAGAGGUUACAAUUGAUUUGGGUUGCAGCAUUUUCAGAUGGAGGAACACCCAAUGAAUCCUUACAAUCUAAGUUGCACCUACGAAGAACCCUUGGUUGAAUAUUUAACCAUACUAAUAAAAAAAUGCAACUUUUGGGGAAUAGUUAUUAUUGAAGGAAAUAACAAUUUCACUACUGGACCAAGAAGAGUUAUCUUUCAUAUGUAUGAAAUGGAAAACUAAUACCUUUUUCUUUGCAGAUUAAAAGGAAAAGAAUAAGAGUCUUUAACAACAUGGCCAAGGAAUAGGCUCUUGGAUGUGGAAUGUUGGACAUCAAUAACACAAGGAUAAAAUGUUUUUGUUUCUUAUAUUAGGUGUUGUAAACACAUUGGACAUAUUACUUUUUAGAUUGUAACUAAUUCAUUUGAUUUUAUCAAUUAGUUUGGUAUAACUUUAAAAUAAUGUAAUUCUAAAACUUUAUUUAUGUAUUGUACAAAGGAUUUAGCUUCAAAGGAUUAGACAUAAUAAAGACUCUUGUAAAUUCUACACAUUAUUAUUAAAUAAAAUUAAUUUUUAAAACAAAUUGUUCUUUCUAUAAGUUUUAUUUUUAUAAUUUUCUUCUCCUACAGUCAAAUACAACAACUUUUGUGAUAAAUAUACUGUCAACUUAAGUAAUUCAAAAUUAUACUUUAAUAUAUUUUUGUUGUUCAAACUACAAAACAAUAAGGAGUUCCGUGCAUCGCACGGGCUACAAACUAGUUAUAUUAUUAUUUCUUUCAGAUCAUCUUUUUACUACAAUAAAUAAUUCAACCACUACCACACUUUCAUCUUAUUUUAAUAAAUUCAACUCACUCUCCUAAAACUAUGUGCGAGUCAAGGUGUAUUUUUUCAUAAAAUACAGAGGGAUCGGAGUAACUAAAACAACCAUAUCUAUCUAUCUAUACUAAUAUAUGAAAUGGCGUUGAGAAAAAUGUCUAUAUGCAACGUAUUACUAUUUCCUUUGCGCCACAUCAUUCACUCACCAAAUAAUAUGUCAUAUCAUGGACAACCAAAAAUCAAUACAUAUUGUGAGGUUUGAAUUCUAGACCUCAAGUGUGGAUGAUAACUCUCAUUGUUAGGUUAUGAAAAAUAUAAAACAUAUAUUUCAUGCAGAAAAACCUUAAAGCCAGGAAUCCAAAUUAAUUGCCACAUAACCAAUUAGCAUAAUUUAGGAUACAUACAUGUGUAGCGUGCCUGGCCUAGCUGCUCCCGAACCGAACAAGAACAAGUUUAGGACUCCAAGUGUAGUCCCUCUGUAGAUAGUCCACGGCACGUUCGGAUCCGCCUUAGAUUCAAUUAACUAGAAUUUAGCCUAUGGUUUUAUGUUAUUCGUACUUCAUUAUUUGGCAAAUUAUUAAGCUUAGUUUUUUAACUUAAAACUAUAUAAAUACUUUGAAUUGAUGUGUAUAAAUUGUGAUUUCCAUCACCUAUUUAUAGGGUAGGAGUAUCGGAACUAGAAACCUACUAGGAUUCAAUUUAUCUAAUUCAAUUAGAAUUAGACUUAAAUUAAAUCUAUUAAUUUUAGUGUUUAGCUUAACAACUAAUUCUAGUAGUUUCAGGAAAAUAGUCUAAUCGGAUAAAUCCUAACUGCCUAAGGAUUCGAAACAUGCACGAACACAACAACACGCACGAACAGCCCGCUGGUAUGCAGCCCACGAAGGGCGCGCCAUCUUGUUGGCCUUGCCUUGCUUGCUGGGCCUGGCCUUGCUUCAUUGCUCGGCUGGGCCUUGCUUGCUUGGCGGGCUGUUGCUCGCCUGCUGUGCUUGCGCGGGCUUCGCUAGGCGCGGGGGAUUCGCCAGGCGCGGGUCUAGCUUCAUGCUGGGCUUUGCGUCUAGCAAGCUCGUCUGAUGUUUAUUUCGUACGUCGCGCUUCCGAUUUAUUUUCCGAUUCCGGAAUUCAUUUCCAAUUCAAAAAAUAUUUAAUAUUUCUGAUUCCGGAAUUAAUUUCCGUUUCGAAAAAAUAUUUAAUAUUUCCGAUUCAGGAAUUUAUUUCCGAUUCCGAUAAUAUUUCCGAUUCCGAUGAUAUUUCCGUUUCCGACAAUAUUUCCGAUUCCGGCAAUAUUUUCAUUUCCGACACGUACCAUGUUUCCGUUUCCGGCAACAUCUACGACUUGGAUAAUAUUUUAUAUUUCCGAUACGAUCCAUAUUUCCGUUUCCGGCAAUAUCAUCGUUUCCGGAGUAUUCAUAUUUGCCCUUUUGACGAUUUCAGCUCCCACUGGAACCGAGAUCCGUCCAUUCCGAAUAUCCAUAAAUGGAGUAUUUAGUUCACUUAAAUACUUGAUCCGUUCACGUACUAUUUGUGUGACCCUACGGGUUCAGUCAAGAGUAAGUUGUGGAUUAAUAUUAUUAAUUCCACUUGAACUGAAGCGACCUCUAGCUAGGCACCCAGUUCCCUUGAUCUCACUGAAUUAUUAACUUGCAUAAUUAAUUAAUACUGAACCGCAUUUAUUAGACUUAACAUUGAAUGCAUACUUGGACCAAGGGUAUUAUUUCCUUCAGUCUCCCACUUGUCCUUAGGGACAAGUGUGCAUUGCCUAAUUCCUUUGUCGCUUGAUGCUUUCUCAUGAACAUAAGGUAAGAGUUGUCAUCCUUAUUAUGUCAGAGGUAUUUCUCGGUUUCAGAGUUCAACUGAUCAAAUAAACAGAUAAUCAUAGCCUAUGAUUCAUCUGAGCACGGCCAUGCAUUUUACAGUUUCUAGCUCUCCGAGUGGCCUUGUACAACUUUCAGCAUCUCAUCUUGAUUUAUGGGAGGACAAUCCCAAUCUUGUGAUCUUGAUAUUAGACUUCUUUUGAUAGGUGAUUACUCGAGCGUUGCUGUUAUAGCCUCCUUUUACGGUGCGACGGUUGACAACGUCAAAGUAACCAGUCGAGUUGUAAUCGAGUUGUUUUAACCUUAAAGGAUUGUAGACCUAAUCAAGAGUUUAUGACUAAAAGCUCCCACUUAAACCAAUAAAUUUACAUGCUUUACUAAUUUUAAACAUAAAAUUGUAUUUCCUAGUCUAACCGGAAACAUACAAAUUUAAUUAAAAUUUAAAGCUCAUAUAAAUUAUUAUUUGAAUCCUUUUAUUUAUUUUCAGUUGAAUUAAAUAAAUAAAUUUAAAUUUAUUCAAGGUUUUAAUUUUAAUACAAUAAUUAGUAUAAAUAAAAUUUAUAAUAAUUAGAUUAUUCAAAAUUAAAUUCCGAGAAAAAAUUAAAUUACGAAUUUUAAAAAUAAAUAAAAUCGUUUCCGAACUGAAAGUUUAAAAUUAAAUUCAAAGCGCAUCAAUCGGAUCAGACGAGGCCAUGGGCUUGCGCCUAUGCACGUCGAGUGCACGAGGUAGCAAUGCCCCUGAAAUGAUCGCAUGGCAAUGCAUGAGCAGGCCACACGCAAACGCAGCCAGCCCAACCAUGCAUGCUCGCAGCCCGCUUCACUAAUACAAAAGUGACCUUAUGUAACAUAAAAUGGUAACACUUUUAAAGUUGCAAAAUUAUUCGAUAUAUACGUAACACUUUAGUAACACUUUCAUAUUAGGUAGCACUUGUUUGUAACACUUGAUAGGGAAGUGAUAAAUCCAAGGAAGAAUUUCACUUCUUCCAAGGAAAUCAACUAUGAAAAAAUGUGGAUUUCCUUGGCAGAAGUAAAAUUUUCCUUGGAUUUAUCAUUUCCCCACUUGAUAUUAGGUAACACUAAUUUGUAACACUUUGAUAUAAGAUAACAUUUGGUGGUAACACUUUAAAAUUUCAAUUCUAGCUUAAGCGCUAAUCCUGAAAUUUACCAAUUCAUCGAAAAAGUCAAAUUGCCGGCAAAGAAAAAAAAUUAGAAUUUGAGCAAAAAUGAAUUAGGAAUUCGCCGACAAUAAGAAAACGAAAAAAAAGGUCAAUUUCUCAAAAGUUUCCUCUCCCCAGCCACGAUAGUCUCUUAGGUUUAAACCAGUUCCAUCUCGCGCAAUUUCAUCACAAAAUCAGUCGUCGUCUCGAUCGGGAUUUUGGGUUUCAUCGAAUUCGUGCUUCGAAUUUCAGGUAUUUCCUGAUUUAUGGUGGAUGUUUUUUAUUUAUUUGGUUAUUUAAUCAUUAAAUUUCCAAUAAUCUAUGAAGUAUUACAAUCUAGAUUAUAGCCUUUAAUAUUUUGAUUGGGUUCUGAACGGGAUAUUGGCUUUGCGUUUGAAAUAGUUUUUUUUUUUUUUUUGAUUUCUUGAUUCAGUAUUUCGAGUUUGGUUUGUUGAUUCUGAAUUUUCUUGUGUGUUAUUGGUUUUUGGUGGUGAUAAAGUUUUUGGUAUUUCGAGUUUGCAUUGAGUGAUGGAUAUUGAAUGUUUUCCCAAAUGAAAAAUUAAAAUCUUAGAAGAACAAUUGACAUGACUCAUGAAGUUUUCUUUUUAUAUUUUUUUUUAUAUAUCAGAGUGAUAAAUGGAAUUACAAAUUAAUAAUAGGAAGCUGUUGUGUUCUGUAAUAUCCUGUGAACUUAUGACUUUACUGAACAUAUUGACGAGGCAAUUUCUUAAUACAACACCCUUUAUAAAGUAGCAACUUGGAGUAGAAUUUGUUUAAAACACAAAGUAUCUCCAUCGGAAAAUUAUUGUAAUGCAGAGAAGUUCUGACCAAAUUGCAGAAUCUGAUAUUAAUCCUCGCGUGAGUAGAAUUCUUGUUUUACCCAAAAUAUCCCGUGUUGUACAUGCAAAACCUGAACAAGUUUUCUGACAAAAAAUGUUGAAUCGGUUUAUGUGUUAUCAGUGUUUGCAGAUUUUACAUUAGAUAGUAAUAUGUUGUCAUCAGUGUUUCUGUAUCAUUUUUUUUAUUAUGUGUAUACUUUUUUCCCUUGCACAGCUGAAAAUGAUAUGAAGUGAAAGUAAAACAACACAUCAGAAGAUGAGCCACUCUUACAUAAUCACUUUUACAUAAUCUGGAAAACAGUUUAGAUGAACUCUUAAUAACAGUUCUCUGUGAUAAAUCAACAUUGUAUGAGAGUAAAUUACUUUAUUGCUUUACAAAAUUACGACAUUCUAUACUGCCAAUUAACAUGUGUUGCGAGACAAUUAAGUUAUAAGCAAAAGAAGAAACUAUAAGAAAGAAAGCGGAAUACACGAGUGGAACUUCUAAAGCAAAAGAGUUAUGUUAAUAAAGAUACAGGGAAAGGUUACUUCUUUCUGUGUUUAUGAGCUUGUACUUGUGCUGCAUCAUCUUGAACAAGCUCGACAAUCAAGUCUUUAAAUAUCAAUCGUUCGAUGUCUAGUACUAAGGCUGGUAUCUCAACGCUGGCGGCAGUCCAAGUUGCUGAUUUAUGUGUUAGAUCUUUCCCUAUGAUGGUUGUGAGAAAGUCCUCCUCAUCAUCUAAGUUGUGAGGCAAGUUGAUAGGUUAGACCUGGUCUAUUUCUUUAGAUAUCUCUUGCAGGAGCUGCAGGCCACCAGUUGCGAAUUCUGUCGGCUUUUUCAAGAGUGGGCUUGGUGGCUGAGAGAGUUUCUGAGAUAGUAUUUCAUUGACUGCAUCGAACAAGAGUCUUCUCCUAUGCCUUUCCAUGGUUCUUGUCAUUCUCUCAGCUUUACUGUUGGAUGUAUUAUCUGAAACAAAACUGCUUCUUAUGGUUUGCUCCAAUUCAAAGAAUAAGUUAGGGUUGAUUGCUUCUUAUGACUGGAGGGCAAGAUGAUCGGCCAUUGUGUAGUCCAGAUGAUCAAGGAAUCCCGAGGCUAAGAGUACUUCAGACACGUAUGAUUUUUCCACAUUCACGUAAAGAGGUGUGGUUUUACUUAAAUUUCCAUGCUGAUAAGAGUUCAACUUAGAGCAUGUACAUUGGGGCUCUUGGAGUGGUUCUCCAAGUAGCUCUCCAAGUAGCUCUCCAACAAGAACUAGCUCUUAGCCAACAUUGGGGCUCUUGAGGGGCUCUUGAGUAGCUCUUCAUGGAGAGCUACUUCAAGGUAGCUCUUGCUCAAGAGCCCUUCAAGAGUUGAUUCUUGUUGAAAAGUGGGGAGUAACUUUGAAAAUUGGAUAGUAACUUUGGUUAAAAACACAAUUAAUUGUGGACCACCAAAUGGUAAAAAUAAUAAUGGAGAGCUCGUUUGAGGAACCAACCAAUGUUGGGUGUUUUUAAGAAUGAAUUCUUGAUUGUGUCUUGUAGAGAGAUAGUGGUAGAGAGAGGGGAGAGUCCUCCAAGAGCUCUUUUGAAGAGCCAACCAAUGUACAUGCUCUUACAUAAGGAUGGAGCUGACUCUUUGAAGUUUUCUAGUUUCCGAUAAUCACUCUCAUAGUUAAAAUUUAGUCUGAACCUGUCUGGAGAAUGAUUAAGAUCGGUGUCGAUCCACUCUGCUUCAUUGUAUGUUGUAUUGGUCUCAAAAUCUGCAGAGAAGUUCAGAUAAUAACAUCGGAUCAAACAUUUCUUCCAAAUAGUUUUGCUUUAAUAUACCAUGCUCCAUUUAGCUAAGUCAUAGGUAGUAAAAGGUAAUGUAUCUCUCCCAUGCUAAGAAGGGAAGGAUGCGUACUACUUUGCUCAUUUUCAUGCUCCCUUUCUCCAUCCCCCAUUUAUAGACUUAUUCACACAACCUUAUGCUUUUCACUUUGGAAUCUUAAGUCUUGUACAGAGAAAAUAUUGCUUUGCAUCACUAUUUCUUAAUACUCAAAGUCAUUUUAAUGAAUUAUCUGUCGGAUGAGUACUACUUUUCUCAUUUUAAUGAAAUAUUUUUGGAUUGGCAUUUUAGAACGACGUAUAAAUCCCACUGAAGUGGUUUCCUAGCUCAUUAUUUGAGCCCCACUGACUCCAAAAGGACUAUUCCCUUUUGAAUAAUAGUGAAGCACUAGCUGUAAAACUUGGGUGUGGUCUUUUUAGUUUAAGUGGAAUAGGCCUGUUAUUGUGAAUGACUUUUUAAAAAAAAAAAUUAUAUAGCGUGUCCUGGUAGUAUUUUCUUUUGUUUUUAUGCUUCACACAAUCACACCUUUUACAGUAACAAAGUACAAGUAUUAGACUAUUAGUAGUAUACCAAAAUUGGGUUUCUACUCAUCUCAACAAUAUGCUUUAUGUUUAUUCACCAAUUAAGUAGGCAAAGGUCUCUAUUUGAACUGCAGACUGUCUAUGGCAGCAUCGACCUCCACCUGUACAGUCCCCUAUCAUAGGGGGAAAUUGAAAUCCAAUAUAGUCUUUUUUUAUGUGCUUGACAGGGGAGCCAUGGAUCGAAAACAAGAGUUUAAAUCAAUUUCCUCCGGAAAGUUUUUGUUUAUGCUUUGUGAUUGUCAUUAUUGUUCAGACAGAUGAAUUUCGAAACUCAAUAUGCUCUUUCUUGGCAGAUUUUCAAUCCUAAGCUUGUCUUGGCAACCCCAUAAACUGCUUCUGAUGCAGAUUAUGUUGCAAUUUUAGGUGUAAUUGGUAAUGAGGCAUGCUUUCAUUGGACUGCGUUAGCAAUUAUUAUCUUUGUCCCCAUCUUAGCUUGCACUGAUGAAUGUUUCUUUUGUCUUCACUAUUAUUUUAGUACUUCCACAACUGGACUGGAAAUAGGUAAGCUAUUUCUUUAUUUUAAGUAGUUAUCAUGCACUAUACUUCAUACUACGUGUUUUUAUAAGAUUUGCUUGCUUUUUUUUUUUCUGCCACCUUCACUGUUACUAGUACUCUGACAUGAUUUCUGCUGCAGAGUUACAUGCCAUGACUGGUUCCAGCAGAGCCUAAAGGAAGGACUAACUGUCUUCCGUGAUCAGAACAGAAGUUCGAGGUUUGAACCCCCGGACUCAAAUCACCAAAGGUGCCUGAUGCUGAAUGCGGUAGAUGUUGCUGUUGUUAGUCUCAAAGUCGGCAAAAUGUUAAUGCUAUUAAGCUUUUGGUGAGGAUUUAGGUUCCAUGGCUCAUCAAGUGCGACCACAUUCCCACAUUAAGGAUCAAGAUGAUGGAUUGGAUCGGAUAGCAAAUGAAGAUUAAAGUUGACAUUGAAAAUCAUGCAGACGUAAGGGAAACCAGUUGAAUAUGAAAAGAUAGAAGACAUUUAGUUUUGGAUUAUACAUUUUAGUUUUGGAUAUGAUCAUUUGAUUUUAUUUUGAACAUAAUAAUGUAAUUUUCAUAGAUCGUACAUCAAAUACUAUUAUUUUAAUUUGUUAAUUUGUUAGGGAGCGGGUAUGCUCCCUUCCUUUA